GAGGUACUGCCUGCCCAGUGACAAUCAGUUUAACGGCCGCGGUAUACUGACCGUGCAAAGGUAGCGCAAUCACUUGUCUUUUAAAUGAAGACCCGUAUGAAUGGCAAAACGAGGGCUUAACUGUCUCCUUUAUCCAGUCAAUGAAAUUAACCUCCCCGUGCAGAGGCGGGGAUAUUACCAUAAGACGAGAAGACCCUGUGGAGCUUCAGACACCAGACAGAUCAUGUCAAUUACCUUAAAAUAAAAUUAUUAAACCUAAUGAUUACUGUCCCUAUGUCUUCGGUUGGGGCGACCAUGGGGAAAAACACAACCCCCACGUGGACCAAGAGCAUACACCCGAUUCUAAACUCCUAAAACUAAGAGAAACUACUCUAAUAAACAGAAAUUCUGACCUUUAAUGAUCCGGUAAAACCGAUCAACGAAACAAGUUACCCCAGGGAUAACAGCGCAAUCCUCUUCAAGAGCCCAUAUCGACAAGUGGGUUUACGACCUCGAUGUUGGAUCAGGACAUCCUAAUGGUGCAGCAGCUAUUAAGGGUUCGUUUGUUCAACGAUUAAAGUCCUACGUGAUCUGA
This 574-nucleotide ribosomal RNA is filed under the name Typhlachirus elongatus (Mekong blind sole). RNAcentral's name for it is "partial large subunit ribosomal RNA". It matches the Rfam family "Bacterial large subunit ribosomal RNA", at positions 1849 to 2608 of the family's 2925-position model. The record is from RNAcentral. Lineage: Eukaryota; Metazoa; Chordata; Actinopteri; Pleuronectiformes; Soleidae.